Molecule: ribosomal RNA, 258 nt
Filed under: uncultured bacterium
Lineage: Bacteria
Description: partial 16S ribosomal RNA
Rfam family: Bacterial small subunit ribosomal RNA
Source: RNAcentral
GAUCCUGGCUCAGAGCGAACGCUGGCGGCAGGCCUAACACAUGCAAGUCGAACGAACCUUUCGGGGUUAGUGGCGGACGGGUGAGUAACACGUGGGAACGUGCCUUUAGGUUCGGAAUAACUCAGGGAAACUUGUGCUAAUACCGAAUGUGCCCUUCGGGGAAAGGAUUUAUCGCCUUUAGAGCGGCCCGCGUCUGAUUAGCUAGUUGGUUGAGGUAAUGGCUCACCAAGGCGACGAUCAGUAGCUGGUCUGAGAGGA